Molecule: small nuclear RNA, 79 nt
Filed under: Homo sapiens (human)
Lineage: Eukaryota; Metazoa; Chordata; Mammalia; Primates; Hominidae
Description: partial ncRNA
Source: RNAcentral
AGAGAAUCGCUUGAACCUGGGAGGCGGAGGUUGCAGUGAGCUGAGAUCACACCAUUGCACUCCAGCCUGGGCGACAGAG